GUGCACUCCAGCUGCACAUACAUUAAAACUCAACAAUACAGAAGAUUGGCCUGGCACCCGAACAAGGAUGACGUGCAGAUUCGCGACAUGCUACAUAUCUUU
This is a small nuclear RNA of Apodemus sylvaticus (European woodmouse), 102 nucleotides long. The record is from RefSeq and is a predicted model, not a curated record. NCBI's taxonomy places the organism in Eukaryota, Metazoa, Chordata, Mammalia, Rodentia, Muridae.